This 1001-nucleotide long non-coding RNA is filed under the name Pogona vitticeps (central bearded dragon). RNAcentral's name for it is "lncRNA (ENSPVIG00000017688.1)". The record is from RNAcentral. Lineage: Eukaryota; Metazoa; Chordata; Lepidosauria; Squamata; Agamidae.
GACAAAAAUGAUAUUAAAAUAGAAGACUGGUAUUGUAAAGUGUGGGAUAUUGCAUUAAAUGAUAAAUUGACUUGAACUUAAAAUAAAAAUAGUGGAAAUAAGUUCUAACAAUUUUUAUGAUAUUUGGGGUAAAUUUGUGGAAUUUGUGUUAGUGAAAGGAAGGAGGAAAGCCUCUAAAGAAUACUCAAUACAAUUCUGGAGAGGUAGUCCAUAAUAAAAUAUUAUUAAAUGGAGUCCCGUGGGUAUGGGGUACACGUUAGAAUUUAGUGUAUAAUAAGCACUAUUUGUAAAUUUUUAUAUAUUUUUUGUUGUUACAUGUGGGUUUUUUUGGUGUUUUUUGUAUUAUAAAGUAAAAAAAGAAUUGGAAAAAAAAGACCACAAACUAUUUAGGAUAUCUGUGAAAUUGCCCUGGUUAUUUUUGGAAGCUAACUGGGAACAGACAAAUAUUAACAAACUUGUGUGCAAUGCAACAUAGGAGUAAAAUGCCCAUGUGCUUUUCCAGGUGUGCAGGAGGAAGGCAAAGACUUCAUUCCUGAACGAUGCACAAACAGGCUGCAGACAUCUGCUGAAGGACCAGUUGGCUAUAGAGAAGAGUAGAGGUGAGAAGGGUCCCCUCUUCUACUUACAGAACAGUGUCAGCAGAAGAAAUUCGAUUAUACUCAUACAAGACUUGCCAGCACCUUCAGGGCAACACCUGGAAGCUGAACUUCCUAUCCUGUGAUCUGAUGAGGAUCAAUGAAGGCAGGCCACCUGUUACUUCGUUUCCACUUUUUCAUUCCCAAACUCCUGGUCUGGAUAUAUUUUCCAUCCCUAAGCAAAAGCACAAUUGAGCAAGGUUAGCCAAGUGGACUUUUUGUUCUUUUUUUGUUUAGACCAUCCAAGCAAUUCUGUUUUUUACCUGAGAUCAUCGCUGAUGUUUGAACCUUCUUAAUUAUGUUUACCACAGUUAUGUGUGCUAUCCAGAUGACCAUUGUUCUGUCUUUCAAAGAAUGUAACUGCCU